Molecule: ribosomal RNA, 580 nt
Filed under: uncultured Dechloromonas sp.
Lineage: Bacteria; Pseudomonadati; Pseudomonadota; Betaproteobacteria; Rhodocyclales; Azonexaceae
Description: bacterial SSU rRNA
Rfam family: Bacterial small subunit ribosomal RNA
Source: RNAcentral
ACGGGCUUCGGUCUGGUGGCGUGUGGCGAACGGGUGAGUAAAGUAUCGGAACGUACCUUUCAGUGGGGGAUAACGUAGCGAAAGUUACGCUAAUACCGCAUAUUCUGUGAGCAGGAAAGCAGGGGAUCGCAAGACCUUGCGCUGAUUGAGCGGCCGAUAUCAGAUUAGCUAGUUGGUGGGGUAAAGGCCUACCAAGGCGACGAUCUGUAGCGGGUCUGAGAGGAUGAUCCGCCACACUGGAACUGAGACACGGUCCAGACUCCUACGGGAGGCAGCAGUGGGGAAUUUUGGACAAUGGGGGCAACCCUGAUCCAGCCAUGCCGCGUGAGUGAAGAAGGCCUUCGGGUUGUAAAGCUCUUUCGGCCGGGAAGAAAUCGCAUGGGCUAAUACCCUGUGUGGAUGACGGUACCGGAAUAAGAAGCACCGGCUAACUACGUGCCAGCAGCCGCGGUAAUACGUAGGGUGCGAGCGUUAAUCGGAAUUACUGGGCGUAAAGCGUGCGCAGGCGGUUUAGUAAGACAGGCGUGAAAUCCCCGGGCUCAACCUGGGAACUGCGCUUGUGACUGCUAAGCUAGAGUAC